This 81-nucleotide transfer RNA is filed under the name Cutaneotrichosporon oleaginosum. RNAcentral describes it as "tRNA-Pro". The record is from RNAcentral. Lineage: Eukaryota; Fungi; Basidiomycota; Tremellomycetes; Trichosporonales; Trichosporonaceae.
GUCCUCGUGGUGUAGUGGUUAUCAUACUCUCUUAGGGUCCAGCUAUGGGAGUGGCCCCGCGUUCGAAUCGCGGCGAGGACC